UACGUAGGGGGCUAGCGUUGUCCGGAUUUAUUGGGCGUAAAGAGCGUGUAGGCGGCCAUGUAGGUCCGGUGUGAAAACUCGAGGCUUAACCUCGAGAUGUCAUCGGAAACCAUUUGGCUAGAGUCCGGAAGAGGAGAGUGGAAUUCCUGGUGUAGCGGUGAAUAUGCGCAGAUAUCAGGAAGAACACCAAUGGCGAAAGCAGCUCUCUGGGACGGUACUGACGCUGAGACGCGAAAGCGUGGGGAGCGAACAGG
This 254-nucleotide ribosomal RNA is filed under the name uncultured bacterium. Its description in RNAcentral is "partial 16S ribosomal RNA". It matches the Rfam family "Bacterial small subunit ribosomal RNA", at positions 524 to 776 of the family's 1533-position model. The record is from RNAcentral.